GAAGAAAUUAAUAGAAAUAGAGAAAUGUUUUUUUCUUAAAUGUUUGCUUCAGCACUGUAAAUUUUCAGAGAGCAGUCUCUGAAAUAGCAGUAAUGAAUCAGGUGGAUGUUUGCUUUCAAGGACCCCUUGGGAAGAUCUAGAAUCACUCACCUAAAAAGAAGCUGCAUGCAGCUGAGCUGUGUUGUCUCAGUGCUCUUCUGGGAAGGAGCAGACUGGAGUGCAAGACCCUUCUUUGUUUCCUUCUUCACUUGCCCAGGAAGUUCUCUGACCACUAAAACCAAGCCAUACCUAACCAAACAAGCCACUGAGGAAUAUCUGGAAAAACCAACUAAGCUGUUAAAAGAGACUGUGCAUUGCAUAAAUGAGAAACCAUAUAGAAGAACAAUGUCUUAUCAUCAUAAGCAAAAGUGGCUCAUUUUCCAUGUAUUGGCAUGCUUUUGAGCUUCCCUCUUGCCUUCCAAUUAUAUGCUUGUCAAAGAUAGAGCCAGAAGGUCACAACCACUUUACUCUCCCUACUGUACAAAUCAGCCAAUGAAAACUUCCACUUCUUAGUGUAUUUCAAUUAUUUACGAUAACCACUUUGAACAAAUACACUUCUAGGCUUGAAUCUGGAAGCUAAAAGGGGAAAAAAAGACAUAGCAACUCAUUCAAAAUGGACAAUACCAGACUGGAAAAUAGAGAGAAGUUCUCCUAGGAUGCCUUUGCUGGGCAGCAAGUCAUGGGGAACAUGAAGCAUCUGACUUUCUUUACACCGUUUGAAAUGAUAAUUUGAAACUAUACCAUCCUUAUACACUUCUUAAUAUUCUAUUUGGAAGUACAGCUGAGACACAUGCAAACACCUGCAUUCUCCCAAGCAAAUAGGGUGGGUUUAACUUGUCAGACUAUAUGUGCUAGACAGCUGAGCAUCUAGCAGCUUCUGAAGCCUUGAUGGGAGCUAAAACAAGCAUCUUGUCAGUUAUGUCUGACCUGAUGUAUAUACUCGCAAGAUGCCUGUGAGAAUUUCUCAAAAGCAAGGGUUGGAGUAAACCACUCCUGUUAGAGAGUGCUGAGCCUGGUGGCCCCAGGGUGGAGAACCUGCCAUGGCUCCCUGCCUUCAGACCAUGAAUUCACCAUAUGCCCCACUCCCAGAGCCAUUCCCUUGGCUCCCAGGCCAGGAGCCUCCAUUAACAGCUGCUCCAUCUUGGUGCUGGUCAGGGUCACGCACUGGCAGCACACCCUCACUGUGCCCGUGCUGGCUCAGCCCUGGCACUCAGCCAUUGUGCUCUUGGGUCUGCAGGUAUGAGCCCUGCAUGGGCCUGUGACACCAGGAUGAGCUGGCCAGGGGGGUACUGGUGUACCUCUAUCCUCCCCUAGCCAAGAGCCCACCAGACUGUUGGCUCAGAGGGACUUAGUGUUGGAUCUUAUAUGGCCAUAAGCCAUAUGGGAUUCUGGAUCAAAAUUCUCUCAUCAGAAGUCAGUUGUAAUAAACUCUGUAAUGCCAAAGAAUGCCA
RNAcentral lists this long non-coding RNA (1490 nucleotides) under Zonotrichia albicollis (white-throated sparrow). Its description in RNAcentral is "lncRNA (ENSZALG00000009022.1)". The record is from RNAcentral. Lineage: Eukaryota; Metazoa; Chordata; Aves; Passeriformes; Passerellidae.